AGAGUUUGAUCCUGGCUCAGAUUGAGCGCUGGCGGCAGGCUUGACACAUGCAAGUGGAACGGUAGCAGAGUUAGGCUUUUCUAUUGGGUCACCAGCGGCGCACGGGUGAAUAAUGCCUGGGAAUGUGCCCGGAGGAGGGGGAUAACUACUGGAAACGUUUGAUAAUACCGCAUAACGUCGCAAGACCAAAGAGGGGGACCUUCGGGCCUCUCGCCAUCGGAUGUGCCCAGGUGGGAUUAGCUAGUUGGUGGGGUAACGGCUCACCUAGGCGACGAUCCCUAGCUGGUCUGAGAGGAUGACCAGCCACACUGGAACUGAGACACGGUCCAGACUCCUACGGGAGGCAGCAGUGGGGAAUAUUGCACAAUGGGCGCAAGCCUGAUGCAGCCAUGCCGCGUGUAUGAAGAAGGCCUUCGGGUUGUAAAGUACUUUCAGCGGGGAGGAAGGGAGUAAAGUUAAUACCUUUGCUCAUUGACGUUACCCGCAGAAGAAGCACCGGCUAACUCCGUGCCAGCAGCCGCGGUAAUACGGAGGGUGCAAGCGUUAAUCGGAAUUACUGGGCGUAAAGCGCAAGCAGGCGGUUUGUUAAGUCAGAUGUGAAAUCCCCGGGCUCAACCUGGGAACUGCAUCUGAUACUGGCAAGCUUGAGUCUCGUAGAGGGGGGUAGAAUUUCAGGUGUAGCGGUGAAAUGCGUAGAGAUCUGAAGGAAUACCGGUGGCGAAGGCGGCCCCCUGGACAGAUACUGACACUCAGAUGCGAAAGCGUG
RNAcentral lists this ribosomal RNA (766 nucleotides) under uncultured bacterium. Its description in RNAcentral is "bacterial SSU rRNA". It matches the Rfam family "Bacterial small subunit ribosomal RNA", at positions 8 to 763 of the family's 1533-position model. The record is from RNAcentral.